RNAcentral lists this ribosomal RNA (254 nucleotides) under uncultured bacterium. Its description in RNAcentral is "partial 16S ribosomal RNA". It matches the Rfam family "Bacterial small subunit ribosomal RNA", at positions 107 to 354 of the family's 1533-position model. The record is from RNAcentral.
UGAGUAACACGUGAGUGACCUGCCUUUUAGACUGGAACAACUUACCGAAAGGUGAGCUAAUGCCGGAUGAGUUAUAUAAGUGCAUGUUUAUAUAGGAAAAGUUGGGGAGACCUGACGCUGAAAGAUGGACUCGCGUCCCAUUAGCUAGUUGGUAGGGUAAUGGCCUACCAAGGCGACGAUGGGUAGCCGGCCUGAGAGGGUGGCCGGCUACACUGGGACUGAGACACGGCCCAGACUCCUACGGAAGGCAGCAG